GGCCUUAUAUUCAAUAAUGAUUUUAAAUUGCAAGUUUAAAGGUGAAAUAAUAAUCUAAGGCUU
This 63-nucleotide transfer RNA is filed under the name Saperda tetrastigma. RNAcentral describes it as "tRNA-Cys". Lineage: Eukaryota; Metazoa; Arthropoda; Insecta; Coleoptera; Cerambycidae. The record is from RNAcentral.